RNAcentral lists this ribosomal RNA (396 nucleotides) under uncultured bacterium. Its description in RNAcentral is "bacterial SSU rRNA". It matches the Rfam family "Bacterial small subunit ribosomal RNA", at positions 30 to 431 of the family's 1533-position model. The record is from RNAcentral.
AUUGAACGCUGGCGGCAUGCCUUACACAUGCAAGUCGAACGGCAGCACGGGAGCAAUCCUGGUGGCGAGUGGCGAACGGGUGAGUAAUAUAUCGGAACGUGCCCAGUCGUGGGGAUAACGUAGCGAAAGCUACGCUAAUACCGCAUACGAUCUAUGGAUGAAAGCGGGGGGAUCGCAAGACCUCGCGCGAUUGGAGCGGCCGAUAUCAGAUUAGGUAGUUGGUGAGGUAAAGGCUCACCAAGCCGACGAUCUGUAGCUGGUCUGAGAGGACGACCAGCCACACUGGGACUGAGCACGGCCCAGACUCCUACGGGAGGCAGCAGUGGGGAAUUUUGGACAAUGGGCGCAAGCCUGAUCCAGCAAUGCCGCGUGCAGGAUGAAGGCCUCGGUGUAACU